AGUUGGCCGGAUGGCCGCUCCGGUGCGGGGUCUCCCGCAUCGGGGAGGAAAGUCCGGGCUCCAUGGAAACACGGUGCCGGGUAACGCCCGGCGGGGGCGACCCCAGGGAAAGUGCCACAGAAAGCAAACCGCCCCGGGGAACCGGGGUAAGGGUGAAAGGGUGCGGUAAGAGCGCACCGCGCCUCCGGCGACGGAGGCGGCACGGUAAACCCCACCGGGAGCAAGACCGAAUAGGGGCGGCAUGGGCGCGCUGUCUUGCGGCGUGGCCCAAAUCGCGUUUCCGGAUCGCCGCCCGGGUUGGUCGCGCGAGGUGCGCGGCAACGCGCAUCCCAGAGGAAUGGCCAUCCAGCGGGCCCCUUCGCGGGGGCUUCGUGGACAGAACCCGGCUUACAGGCCAACUG
Molecule: RNase P RNA, 401 nt
Filed under: Kaustia mangrovi
Lineage: Bacteria; Pseudomonadati; Pseudomonadota; Alphaproteobacteria; Hyphomicrobiales; Parvibaculaceae
Description: Bacterial RNase P class A
Rfam family: Bacterial RNase P class A
About the family: Ribonuclease P (RNase P) is a ubiquitous endoribonuclease, found in archaea, bacteria and eukarya as well as chloroplasts and mitochondria.
Source: RNAcentral